Molecule: non-coding RNA, 3913 nt
Organism: Vicugna pacos (alpaca)
Lineage: Eukaryota; Metazoa; Chordata; Mammalia; Artiodactyla; Camelidae
Source: RefSeq, a predicted model, not a curated record
GCAGGGGUGACGCCCUCCCAUGACAGCCCAGACACCUGCGGCAGCUUGAAAUUUGCAUGUCUCUAAGAGGAAGCGUCAAGCUCAGGCUAAGAAUGAAGUGAGCAGCGAGAACGAAAGUAGGAAGCCGGAAGCUGGAGGCCAGCUGGGCCCUGCAGGCUCGAGGCAACAUUGUUUUACAAAAGGUGCAGAACCAGGAGGACUGAGCCCAGGGUCAGAGCCAGAGAAGCAAGACUUCCUUGUACAUAAGUCUCUGCUCAUGUUUUUUUUUUUUUAAUCGCUUUUGUCAAGUUCUGCAGGAGGCUAAUUAUUCUGUCAGAUUUAAAGCUCUGGAUGCCUGCCAGUUCCACGUUGCUUUUCAGAAAUACAAAGUCGAUUUUCUCUCCCCUUAGGGAUGUCUGAUGACUGAGAUGAGCAUCCAGUCUUUAAAAAGUCGUUGUUAAAAAUCCAGAAGGGAUAAAGAAGAAAGCUGGUGGCCCCUCUCAUUCGCUUCUCUCCGCAUCCCAGAGAGGAGGCCCGCCCCGCCUGCCUCUGCUCUGUGUGAUGCAUUCAUCUGACCAAGCGCAGGAAGGGCCCGUCCAACUCCAGGCCGUCUGACCGUCCCGGGACCUCAUCUUCAGGACGGCGCGGCUCCUGGACCUGGUGAGUCUCCACGUGCGUGAAUUCUCUGUCCACAGCGCAACUGCUCCAAAGCGUUCAGUGUUUCUUGUUGGCAGGAUCGUUCAGGUUCCAGGGAGCUCUCCCCCGACGUGCCACACGGUUCACAUUCAAAGACAUUGGUGUCUGUAUCCAUCGCUGUUAAUUCACGUACCACGUCUCUCCUCCCUCCGUGGGGAGUUCUCCUGGGGGAACAGAGCUGCUCAGGCAGCGAACCCGCCUGGCACACGGGUAUCACCCAGGCCGAGCCUCUGUGAGUCCGCAGACAAUGCCUCGUGAUGCCGAGAAUCACCUGUUGUCUGAGCCCCUGCUGAGUUCUUGUUCCCUUUGUGCAGUUCGUUCUCUGAACAAACAGAUAGCUCUGAGCCCCGUCCUCCCCAGGCUGGUGGGAACCGCAUCCGGCCCCCCCGGGAGGUCCCACCUCCCCUCUGGCUUUACUACAGCUCUGGGAUUUCUUUCAAACCUCCACGGACAAACCACCACACCGAAAAGGCACAGAAAAUCCUACUGAAUUAUCCCAGAGUGGACACACCCGUGUAACUGCCUCCCAGGCCCAGAGACAGCAACAGUGGUCCAGGAGGCCAGACACCCGCCCACCUCGGGCUCACCCUCCCUCCCUCCCUGUGGGCACAGAUAACGCCGCCCUGACAUCACACUGCCUCCCAGGGCCUCCUUUCUCCGUUGUCGCGGUCAGGCACCCUUUCUUCCUGCGCCUGCCAAGCCCAGGAGCUGAUGGCGGGGCUGAGGCCAGCAGCUCACAGCCCACACGGACCCCACACCCCGAGCCCCGAGGCUGGCUUUGCCCAGGGAUCCUGGUGGCACGCGGUGCCCGGUGACACAGCCUGCUGCAGGUGUCGGGGUCGGCCUUCGAGGGGCACACGGCUCCCGAUUCUUCCGCAGGCGAAGGUGCCUGGCCGCCUCUGCUUCCCGCACACUCCGCAAGGGCAGGCCAGGCCUCCGGGACCCUCGGCAGGCCUAGAAUUUCACCGACGUCCUGUAAUUUUCAGUCCCUGCGUCUAUUUUCGGGCUCUGGCCGCAGAUCACGGAGAUGCGAAUGCUCUACCGCGUUGUGAUUGUAGCCCCGACGGCUGCAGCAACGGGCGGGGAGGGCGGGGCGGCCAGCCCCGUAGACAGCAAGGGUGUCCGUGUUCCAUACCACGCAAUGGCCUCUAGAGACAAAGCGUGUGAACAGGGAUGUACGCGUGUGAUAAACUGCGUCCUGUGCUGUGCACCAGAAGCGAACACAGCACUGGAAGAAGAAAGCUGCGGUCUUUUCAAUCAUCAGUGUGAAAGGAAUGGCAGAGAAAAUUUUAAAAAAAUAUUCAGCGUACGUGUCAUCUCAUGGAAAUGAGCUGACCCGUCCCCCGGGAUUUUGAUAAACUCACUUUUUAAUAAUUCAAAUGCAGUGAUUUUGCCCCAAAAGCUGUAGCUGUCAUUCAGCGCUGUGCUAAUUCCUCCUGCGAGACGAGGUGACUCAAAGGCAGUUCAUCCGGAAUCACAGGCUCGCCGUAAGUACCAGCUCAGGACUCCCGGCCGAGCAGGACGCGGGGACUGGCCCUUUGCUCCCUCCUGAAGCUCCGGGCCCCCGAACGAUGGCGCUCAGCCCCGGGGACCCUCAGCCCCCGUCUCCAGGUCAGCCUGGCCUGGAACUGGGCUCACAUUUACGUGAGUCCGCAAGCCCGAGCCGCCCCACAGGUGACCCCGGGAAGCCUCAGGUUCACCGAAGAUACGCAGAAAAAGGGGCUCCACGUUUCACUCUAAGUUUCAUUUCCAUCGUGUUAAAGUUGAGCGACGAGGCAGAGGACGAGGGACACAGCGAGAAGCCGUGUGUUCCAGGGAAAGAGCGUUCCUGUGACUCAGGCCUCCGGUCCGUAAUUCACGUGGGAUCAUUCUGAGGUUUUGUGUGGAGGGGAUUACAUCAGGACCAGAGGUCUUCUGAGAGGAGCUGCAAACAUCCAGACGUGACUUCCUGGAGCCCGGUGGCCUUGGGGAUUUGGGGGGGCGGGUGCUGGUGAGGGCUCGCAGGGGUCAUCUGUGUGCGCCCGUGGUCAGUCACGUAGGCCUGGCAGAAACCCAGAGUGUGUGCUGCUGGGUGGCCGGCCUGGCCCAGUGACCACGGACAGCGCCUCUCUGACCUCAGUUCUGCUCUGUGCAGGCGGGUUAACCCCACGCCCCGCUCACGUCCCAGGGUUUUGAGAGGGUCUCAGUGAGACGGGUGCCCGUAUGAGCACCUGGCAAGGAGGGUGUGAGCCUCAGCAAUGAUUGUGGGGUGAAGGUGAGGCAGCUGAUGGAGGGGUCUGCACUGAUGGGGGGGCCCACACUCUUUCCCAUGGGAACAGGGUGACAGUCUGGCAGUGCCCCUGGCACCCACGCCCCUGGAUAAGGGUCCCUGCCCAGGAGCAGGGCUGGGGGACAGUGGACACAGGGGCCCCCAGGCGGCUGACGGGGGCCUCAGCUGUCAUGUCUGCUCAGUUUGGAAACAUUGGCGAGGGAGCUGGGGUCUGGCGCUGGCACGGGGCUCUGGGGGGGGCCAGGCUAGGCUCCCGCCCUCAGGGGCCCCCAGCCCCUAGACGCGAGGGGAAGACACCCAGUGCUCUGGUGUUCCAAGGCCAUGCUGCUGUCUGUCCCUCCUCGGGGAGGGAUCCGAGCCGGGACAUGAACCUGGUCCCCACCCGCCUUCCAAGGUCAUUCAGGCUCAGACACAGCCCCCUCCUCCGCAAAGCGUGACCCUCUCGCGAUGAAGCCGGUCCAGCAAAACCAGAGAGAGGGGCUGCCCGUGAAGUUAGGAACUGACAAACCCCCAACCCCCACCCCGAGAGGGGGAUGUGGGGCUCCAGCCACCCGCACAGUUACUGAGGGCGCGCCCCAACCAGGCUUCGCAGCGGGAGUUCGGAGCGGAUGCUCCCCCAGGUGGACAAGGAAAUCGCGGAUGUGUAGGCAAGGCUGCUUUGCUGGUGGAGAAACGCCUCGCUGUCCUGGCCUGACAAACACUGGGCCCCGCAAGGUCUGAGGAGACAGCAGAGACCACGAGCACGGCCCCUUCCUUAGAGGUGCCGACAUCCGGCCGUCCGGUCACCCAGAGGGAAGCAGCAUAAAUACAGGAUUCCUGCUUAAAAUGUGUAGGUUGUCGAGCGUCCUUGGAGCGACCGGUGAGUUUCCACUUCUCAUCACGGGUGAACCCAAGGAUUUUAAAGCCACUGAUGGGUCUGGUCCAGAGAAAUCUUUUCUCCUUUUUGACACUGAAAUUGUUCCAUCAUUC